AGUGACGCUCCGGAGCCGUCUCCAGGGUGGUAAUACCUGGUGCAGAGCUUGAGUCUGGCCAGCGGGUCAGGCUCUUCCUAGAUCAGCACCGGAGGUGGAAGACUGGUACAUUUUACAUACUUUGGGGAAAAAAACGUUGCUGAAGUUACUAGAAAAGAGACAGUUCUUCUGCUGACAACCCUUGAGGAAAUAAUUUUCUACCUCCUUAGGAUUCGAAGACCAGUUCAUUCUUAGUGUCUUCUGAAAUAAAAUUAGAAUGGAUUGGGAUGAUGAAUAUUCUCAUAAUUCUUUUGACCUACAUUGUUUGUUAAACUCAUUUCCUGGAGACUUGGAGUUUGAGCAGAUCUUCAGUGACAUUGAUGAAAAGAUUGAACAAAAUGCUGCAAGCAUAGAACAUUGCAUUAAAGAGAUACAGUCCAAAAUUAACAAACAAUGUCCAGGUGUGCAGCUGCAAACAACAACUGACUGCUUUGAAUGGCUAACUAACUAUAAUUACAGUACAUCUGAAUCAUCUUUCAUUUCUCAUGGAGACUUGAUAAAAUUUCUCAAAACACUGCAAGAUUUGUUGAAGAAUGAACAAAAUCAAGAAGAAAUGACAUUGGAUUUACUUUGGGACCUCUCCUGCCACAGCAGCGUUUCAUUCCCAUCAACCCUAAGUGGAACAUCUUUCCAUUUGCUCUCUAGGACGUCUCUUCAUUCUGUUGAAGAUAAUUCCUCUAUGGAUGUCAAGUCUAUGUGGGAUGAUAUAAGACUGCAUCUUCGACGCUUCUUAGUGAGCAAAUUACAAAGCCAUAAUGAAAUAAACAAUUCACAGCAAAAAAUUUUAUUGAAAAAGCAGUGCUUACAACAACUCUUGUUUCUUUAUCCAGAAUCAGAAGUUAUAAUCAAAUACCAAAACAUACAGAAUAAACUGUUGGCUAAUCUUCUGCGGAACUGCUUUCCUUCUUACAACAGAGAUUCAGAUUUAGAUGUAAUAGCUCAUGGAUAUCAAAGUACAAUGCUUAAGUUAUACUCAAUAAUAAAAGAGGAUUUUAACACACUAUGUGAAAUUUUAGCUCCAUCUUCAAUGGUGAAAUUCAUUAAAGAAACUUACCUGGAUACUGUUACAGAAGAAAUGGCAAAAUUUCUUGAAAAUUUUUGUGAGCUGCAGUUCAGAGAAAAUGCUGUUCGUGUGGUUAAAACAAGCAAGAGCUCCAGCAAGCAUAGAGGAGCAGUGCAUGCUUUGGUUACUCCUGAAUGCCCACAGAAAGGAAGAAACUUCUCUCUCCCUUUAGACAAAGUCGAAUUCUUAUCGCAGCUCAUAAAAUCCUUUAUGAAACUGGAAAAAGGUGUUCAAGAAUUGUUUGACGAAAUACUUUUAUCACUCAAGAUAACCAGGAAUACUUCAGGAAUUUUGGAGAAAUCCGAUAGAGAAGUUGUAAUGGAAAAACCUAGAGCAAACGAAACCAAUAUUCCUUCCGAGCAAUCGCUACCAGGAAAAGAGGCUACCUUACUAGAUUUUGGCUGGAGAAGUGCAUUUAAAGAAGUGUUUCUUCCCAUGGCGCACUGCGCAGUAACUGCAAUUGAAGGUUUUUCCGCAAAAAUUCUCCAACAGGAACAGAAUGAAAGGUCUUCAGCUGUGAGCUAUGCUAUGAACCUUGUAAAUGUCCAGCAAGUUUGGCAAGACAGCCAUAUGUUUCCUGAGGAGGAACAACCAAAGAAAAUUGGAAAAUUUUGUUCUGACAUCAUGGAAAAACUUGACACAAUGCUUCCACUGGCUCUGGCAUGCAGAGAUGAUUCUUUUCAGGAAAUUAGAGCAAACUUGGUGGAGGCCUGUUGUAAAGUGGCAACAGCUGUCCUGCAGAGACUGCAAGAGAGAGCCAAGGAGGUUCCUUCCAAAGCACCCCUGAAAAACUUGCACACAUACCUCUCCACAGCGGUGUAUGUCUUCCAGCAUUUCAAGCGAUAUGAUAAUUUGAUGAAGGAAAUGACUAAAAAACCCAUAUUCCUGGUGCUUGUCCAACGAUAUCAGGAAUUCAUCAACACUCUACAGUUUCAGGUUACGAACUACUGCGUCAGAGUUUGUGCUACAAGCAUUUUACAGGAUGCUGAGAGCCACCACUGGGAUGACUACAAAGCUUUUUAUGAGGGGGAAAGAUGUUCCUUCUCGAUCCAGAUGUGGCAUUAUUUCUGCUGGUCUCUUCAUUACGAUCUCUGGACCAUUCUGCCUCCUAAGUUAGCCCAGGAGAUUCUAGUGGAAGUGCUGGAGAAAUCUUUGAGUCUACUGGCCUCCAGAUAUGCUCGGGCCCACCCCAGCCGUAAAAGAACUCCACAGUUAAGACUUGAUGUCACAACAAUUUUGAUGUGCACUGAGAACAUGUUAUGGUCAGUUUGUACAUCUGUACGGAAACUUUUGAAUCCUCAUCAGCAUACAGAUGAUAAAAUUUUUAAAAUUCACACUCAUUGUAAUAAUCUGUUUACAACAUUAGUCAUUUUGACUUCACCAUUAACAGAAUUGUAUAAGACUUUUCAGCAUGGCCUGGAUGAGUCUGCUUCAGAUUCCUUAAAAUCAUUUUUUAAGCAACCAUUAUAUUGGGUUUCUUGCAUAUCACAUUUCUACCCUUCUUUACUCAGGACUCCAUCAGCUGGAGGACUGAAAGCCGAGGGUCAGUUGAAACUGCUCUUAUCCCAGCCACGUUGUAACUGGAACUUGCUUCUGGAAACCCUAGUGCAUCAUGAUGGAAUUUUACUGAGAAUCUUGCUGAAGAGCUCAAAACGUACCUUUCAAGAACAAGUUUCCGACACAGAAAAUAACCUGAACCAAGGACCCAGCUUGAUGGAAGCCAUCUUUAAAAUAUUGUACCAUUGCAGUUUUUCUCCACAAACAUUUGCAAACGUUUUUGUGAGCUACAUGGAAGAAGAGCAAUUAUGGGACUUUUUAUAUAACAUCCCAGUCUCAACGUGCGUGGAGUACGAGCUAGAGGUCAUCAGAUGCUUGAGACUGGCACUGACCGAUGCCGUCAAGGACACUGUACAGCAGAUAGUAUCUGUGAUGAGUUCUAGGAGAAACCGUGAGACAAACCUAAACAAGCACAUUGUUCCUGAUUGUUUGCUUGAGAGCAUGCCAAAGGAAUGGAAUUAUAGUCCAAAAGAAACUAACAGGAAAGAAUCAUGCAAAAGCUUCACAAGGCUUGCUGCUCAGGCAGUAUCUAUUGUAAUCAGCAAGUUACCUACGGUGAUUGCAUGUUUGCCUCCCCCAAUUAAAUACUUCUUUUUUCUGUCUGAGAGAAAAAUGUCAAAAAACUUUGUUGAAUUGAAGAAAGCUGGCCUGCUUGUCUGGAACUUGAUUGUAAUUAUAUGUCGGAUAUUUGAGGACGGAAACACUGUGGAACUUUUAACAGGUGCCUCCCUUGACAGAUGGAGUAAAGAAAAACUGGGUUUAAUUUGUAUGUGUUUGGAAAGCAUCAUGGGAGACCAGACAAGUAUCCCUAAUCAAAUGAUCCAAAAGGUCAUACAAAGCAUUGAGCAGCAGAAGCCCAACUGGAUUGAACGUCAAUUGUUGAAAGCAAGGAAACUGAGCACUGAAUGUGCAUUUAUGACAAUAGAGAAAAGCACAGCCUUACAAGAAGGAGAUAUUGCUCUUGAACUGACUGAGCAGAAAAUAAACACGAUGGUCCUGGAUCUCUGCCACAAACCAGGUGGCAGCGAGUACCUGAGGCAAAUUUAUCACAUCAUGCAGCUCAAUGAGGAAUAUUUAAAAGAACAGCUGUUUUCUAUGAAUAGUUCAGAGGAAAAGCCAUUACCCAUCCGACCUUUAAAGACGACCUUGAGGAGUAUAGAAGAUCGGCCUUCUGCCUUUAACCCUUUCCAUGUGUAUAAGGCGUUUAGUGAAAACAUGCUAGAUCAGUCAGCCAUCACAAAAUGGAACUGGAAUUGGGCAAAGUUGCUGCCAAAUUAUCUGAGACUGGAUAAGAUGACCUUCAGUGUGCUGCUCAAAAACAGGACUCAUUGGAGGGAACCGAUGAACCAUACAGCAAGAUCCAGAUGGCUGAUUUUUACAAAGAGGGGCAACUGCAUAGCAUCUUCUUUUCUCACUUUCCUUUCUGAGAUGUUGCCACUGUCUAACUGAGUGGCUGCUUGAUCUUUAAAACCAAUACUGGAUUGAGAGCUCCUUGAGAGAUGAAACUGCAUCUAAUCAUUCUCUCUCCUGCAAUUAAUCACAUGGACAAUUACGGAAAGAAAUGAGGGCUGCAACAUCCAUACUUGAGGAUUGAUAUCAGUAUUGCUCGGUAUUGUUAUCAAUCAGUAUUGUUAAUGAUAUCUUUGAUAAUUUCCCUCUAAUAUCUCUAUAUUUUCUCAAAAUAAUCCCUUAAAUAUUAUUGGGGUGAAAAUAGUUUAUCUAAGUAACUUUACCAAGUUUAACUGAGGGCUUAGUACAGUGAUAGAAUUCAAUUGUCAUCCUACCUAUCUGGUCAGGAUUCCUAGCAUCCUAUAAAGUAAAGUAUUUCAUAUUCAUCAAAAGUUCUAAUGUGACAUUUCUCCCGUGUGAAAAAAGUAUGAAUGGAACUUACACAACUUUUUAAUAUGGUGCUGGAUUUUUCUCAGGGAGUUCAUUAUACUAAAUCAUUUUGUCAAUUUUUAAAUGAUGAGGGCAUAUCUUUUCCAAUGUAUCAUCUUCCAAUGUAUCAAGUUUAGGAUUUUAUACUUAUAAUGUUGUACUUAUUGGUCUGGACAGCUCUAUAAAGUAAUGUAAUGCAAAAUAUUAUUGAUUUUGGGAAUUAGUGAUAUUAUUAAUUUUCUAGAAAAUAAACUCUGAAAUUAGAUUUCACAUUCCCCCUUUUUUUUCUCUAAAUAUGAGUCGACAUAUGUAAAAACCAGUCAGGUGGCCAUAGCUAUUUUAUAUGUAGUUAUUUUAUAUAUAUCGCUAUUUUGUUUUAUUCAUUAUUUUGUUUUCACCAAACUUUAGGAAUUUUUAAAGCAUUAAGAUCUUGGGCCAUUGGAGAGGUGGGGGAUGGUUCAUGGAGAGAUAAUAAUGUACAUAUUCUUUCAAUAGGUAGGAGGUAGCUAAACAAGUUUUAAGUGUACUAUAAUUUUCAUUGUGACAAGUUCGCUAUCACUUAUUAACAUUAAAAGUAAUUGCGAGUUAGAUGCUAGCUCUGUUUCUGGCACCAUCUGAGUCUCCUGAUAUCUUCAGAUCCUUCUAUUUGGAACUUGCAUAAUCACCUUUUACAUUCACAAAUAAGUUACUGAGUCUCUGAUGAUAGUCAUGAAAACAAAUUUUAAUUGAGUUUGGCAUGUCAAAACCCUUUCUUGGGUUUUAUGUUUGAUGUACCAUGCCACAUUUUCAGUGAAUAAAAACUGCCUCCUUGCAUAUUUAUUAUAUAUUCUCAGUUAGUGAGAUUUUGUUACACAAGCAGUCACCUUAUUAUUUUUUAUACGUGCACUUUGAUAUCACAGUGUUUCAUUGUCAAUUGACGUAAUGUAUCAGAAGUGGCACAGCUAAUGAGCACAGUUGCCUUUAGCUCAUUUUACAUCGUGAAACCCUACUGGGGAAUAGGCUGUAAAACUUGGUGGAGGGGUUCUGACAUUUUAUAAAUGUCAUAUGUCAAUCCUACAUUGUGAUGGCUGUGAAACACUGUGUGCUGAUGGUACCAUAGUCAUAUGAUAGACCAUUUUCACUAGCAGGCACUAAAGAACAGGGUGUGUGUGUGUGCAUAUGUGUGUGAAAGAGAUUUCUGUUUGCAAGUAAACUUUAAGCUUUUUGGCCUGUGUAUAGGAAUUAAGAAAGAUUGCUCAUUAUUUUAUUAAUAUAAAUUAGUAGAGACAAAAUCUUGGUGACAAAAUACAAAAUGUGUUAUGAAAACUUAAAUUCCACUUUUCUGUUCUUAAACACAAAGAAUAUUUUGAUCUUAGAACAAUAAUUAAGGUAUUUUCUGUUUCCAUUAAUCUAAAUUGCAAUUUGUAUUGGAGGAGUAAAAAGUCAGGGCAUCUUAUUUAAACUUAGCCUUUUUUAAAGGUAUGUUUUAAAAACUUGUUUAUGGUAUAAGGUGUUAACAGGUAAUUUGGUCAGUUAUUCCUUAGUGCAUGAGGGUUUGGAUUUUUUGAAUAAAGGAAGUUGCAUUAUCAAUUGCAGAAUAACAAAUGUAGUUUCAUUUGUAUUGCUUCUAGGAGUUUAUGAACCAUAUUUUGUCUUGUGGUAACUAGAAUUAUGAACUUGGAAUGUCAUAGCAAAUGAUGGCUGGGGUAUUUUCAGUUCUGAAAUGUUUUUACUUGUAAACUGGUUAAUUUAGUAUUCAAAUAUACUUAUUUUUUAAAAUAAAAAAUUUAUUUCCUCU
Molecule: RNA transcript, 6314 nt
Organism: Pan troglodytes (chimpanzee)
Lineage: Eukaryota; Metazoa; Chordata; Mammalia; Primates; Hominidae
Gene name: KIAA0825
Exons: 23
Source: RefSeq, a predicted model, not a curated record